This 1477-nucleotide long non-coding RNA is filed under the name Homo sapiens (human). Its description in RNAcentral is "HSALNT0297539". The record is from RNAcentral. Lineage: Eukaryota; Metazoa; Chordata; Mammalia; Primates; Hominidae.
CUACCCCACACAGUCCUUUGCGAUUUUCCUCUCCCACUUUGGGAGCCAGUGGAUGAAGAGGGUGGAACCAUAGAAUAGAAGGAACCCAGAUACAGAUCACUGUUCAGAGGAGAGCUGCCUGCCAGUCAGGAAGACCCAUUUUGGACUUUAUAAAUGCUCUGACCUUAAAAGGAAUAUUGGAGGCAGGAGGAAACAGAGGAAGCAAGAAGAAUUUCCUGGAAGGAAGAUGACCACGGCCCCUCUGUUCCCUCGCCUGUGUGCCAAAUGGAUCCACAGCUAGAGACAAGCUCCUUCCCUUUGAACGGUGGGAAGCAGGCCAAGAUGUUUUAAAGACAGAUGGCAUCAGAUGCAGAGAAGCAAGCUGGAACUCGGAGCACAGCUGCCUUAUUUACUUACCUACUGGCUGCAUUUCUGAGAACCAGUUUUAUUCCUGUUCAAAGGAAGCCAGGCAGAGUUGGGAAAAUAUUUUCCUAGCCAGCUCCUUAGCACCACUGUCUGAGGGAAACCAUCUGGCCAAGAUGCCCUUCAACAUCACCGAGAACUACUGCCAUCAGCUAUAUAAUGAAACUAUUUUUAAGCAACAACAACAGCAGCAGAGAAGAGGGACCAACAGGGUCCAAUGCAUCAGAGGGGUCCAAACUGGUAAGCACUGAAAAAUAUCUAUUGAAUCGGACAAUUAGGAGGACUAACCUCCUCAAGAGUAAGUUCCUGCAGUUUGCUGGAUAAAGGGCAUCAGAGCGCCGUGGGUUGGGUUGAGGACAUCUUCUCCCUUACAGCCUCCUGGUUCUUCUCUCAGAAAAACUUCUCCUCCUUCCCAGCUCAAUCCUAUUUAUUUAUUUUAAAAUUUAUUGUGUAUAUUUAAGGUAUACAACAUGCUGUUAUAGGAUACACAUAGUUAGUAAAAUAUUUACUAUAGCAAAGCAAAUGAACAUCUCUGUCGUCUCCGCACAGUUACCCAUUUUUGUUGCUUUUGUGGCAAGAGCAGCUACAAUCUAGUCAUUUAGUAGGAAUCCCAAGUACAGUGCGAUUUUAUGACCUACAACCAUCAUGGUGUACAUUAGAUCUCUCCACACACCUGUUACAUUGUAUCCUCUGACCUACGUCUUCCCAUUUCUUCCUCCCAUUCCUCCCCAGCCUGCUUCCACCCCAGUAACUGCUGUUUUAUUAUCUGCGUCUGCACAUUUGAUUUUGUUUUUAGAUUCCACAUGUAAGUGACAUCAUGCACUAUUUUUUUUUCCUGUCUGACGCAUUUCACUCAGCAUAGUGUCUUCCAGGUUAAUCCAUGUUGUGCCAAACGACAGGACCUUCUUUUUAAAGGCUGAAUAAUAUUCCAUUGUAUACAGAUGCCACAGUUUUUUAAAUCCAUUCCUCCAUCGACACUUGGGUGGUUCCAUAUCUUGACUAUUGUGAAGAAUGCUGCGUGAAAAUAGAAGUGCAGCCUGAGCUUUUGCUGCGAUCUCCAAAAAAUCAUUGCCAG